UUCGCCCUUAGAGUUUGAUCCUGGCUCAGGACGAACGCUGGCGGCGUGCUUAACACAUGCAAGUCGAACGGGGUGCCCAUGAAGGAGAUUUCGGUCAACGGAUUGGGUUGCUUAGUGGCGGACGGGUGAGUAACGCGUGAGGAACCUGCCUUUCAGAGGGGGACAACAGUUGGAAACGACUGCUAAUACCGCAUAACAUGUAGGUGUCGCAUGGCAUUUACAUCAAAGAUUUAUCGCUGAGAGAUGGCCUCGCGUCUGAUUAGCUAGUUGGUAGGGUAACGGCCUACCAAGGCGACGAUCAGUAGCCGGACUGAGAGGUUGGCCGGCCACAUUGGGACUGAGAUACGGCCCAGACUCCUACGGGAGGCAGCAGUGGGGAAUAUUGGGCAAUGGGCGCAAGCCUGACCCAGCAACGCCGCGUGAAGGAAGAAGGCUUUCGGGUCGUAAACUUCUUUUGUCAGGGAAGAGUAGAAGACGGUACCUGACGAAUAAGCCACGGCUAACUACGUGCCAGCAGCCGCGGUAAUACGUAGGUGGCAAGCGUUGUCCGGAUUUACUGGGUGUAAAGGGCGUGUAGCCGGGUUGACAAGUCAGAUGUGAAAUCCUGCGGCUUAACCGCAGAACUGCAUUUGAAACUGUUGAUCUUGAGUACUGGAGAGGCAGACGGAAUUCCUAGUGUAGCGGUGAAAUGCGUAGAUAUUAGGAGGAACACCAGUGGCGAAGGCGGUCUGCUGGACAGCAACUGACGGUGAGGCGCGUAAGCGUGGGGAGCAAACAGGAUUAGAUACCCUGGUAGUCCACGCUGUAAACGAUGGAUACUAGGUGUGCGGGGACUGACCCCCUGCGUGCCGCAGCUAACGCAAUAAGUAUCCCACCUGGGGAGUACGAUCGCAAGGUUGAGACUCAAAGGAAUUGACGGGGGCCCGCACAAGCGGUAGAUUAUGUGGUUUAAUUCGAUGCAACGCGAAGAACCUUACCUGAUCUUGACAUCCCCCUGACAGCUUCGUAAUGAGAGUUUUCCUUCGGGACAGGGGAGACAGGUGGUGCAUGGUUGUCGUCAGCUCGUGUCGUGAGAUGUUGGGUUAAGUCCCGCAACGAGCGCAACCCUUAUCUUCAGUAGCCAGCAUUAAGGAUGGGCACUCUGGAGAGACUGCCAGGGACAACCUGGAGGAAGGUGGGGAUGACGUCAAAUCAUCAUGCCCCUUAUGACCAGGGCUACACACGUGCUACAAUGGCGUAAACAAAGGGAAGCGAACACGUGAGUGCAAGCGAAUCCCAAAAAUAACGUCUCAGUUCGGAUUGUAGUCUGUAACUCGACUACAUGAAGCUGGAAUCGCUAGUAAUCGCGAAUCAGAAUGUCGCGGUGAAUACGUUCCCGGGUCUUGCACUCACCGCCCGUCA
RNAcentral lists this ribosomal RNA (1401 nucleotides) under uncultured bacterium. RNAcentral describes it as "16S ribosomal RNA". It matches the Rfam family "Bacterial small subunit ribosomal RNA". The record is from RNAcentral.